This 1608-nucleotide ribosomal RNA is filed under the name Escherichia coli UMEA 3292-1. RNAcentral describes it as "bacterial LSU rRNA". It matches the Rfam family "Bacterial large subunit ribosomal RNA", at positions 1337 to 2925 of the family's 2925-position model. Lineage: Bacteria; Pseudomonadati; Pseudomonadota; Gammaproteobacteria; Enterobacterales; Enterobacteriaceae. The record is from RNAcentral.
CCGGAAGACCAAGGGUUCCUGUCCAACGUUAAUCGGGGCAGGGUGAGUCGACCCCUAAGGCGAGGCCGAAAGGCGUAGUCGAUGGGAAACAGGUUAAUAUUCCUGUACUUGGUGUUACUGCGAAGGGGGGACGGAGAAGGCUAUGUUGGCCGGGCGACGGUUGUCCCGGUUUAAGCGUGUAGGCUGGUUUUCCAGGCAAAUCCGGAAAACUAAGGCUGAGGCGUGAUGACGAGGCACUACGGUGCUGAAGCAACAAAUGCCCUGCUUCCAGGAAAAGCCUCUAAGCAUCAGGUAACAUCAAAUCGUACCCCAAACCGACACAGGUGGUCAGGUAGAGAAUACCAAGGCGCUUGAGAGAACUCGGGUGAAGGAACUAGGCAAAAUGGUGCCGUAACUUCGGGAGAAGGCACGCUGAUAUGUAGGUGAAGUCCCUCGCGGAUGGAGCUGAAAUCAGUCGAAGAUACCAGCUGGCUGCAACUGUUUAUUAAAAACACAGCACUGUGCAAACACGAAAGUGGACGUAUACGGUGUGACGCCUGCCCGGUGCCGGAAGGUUAAUUGAUGGGGUCAGCGCAAGCGAAGCUCUUGAUCGAAGCCCCGGUAAACGGCGGCCGUAACUAUAACGGUCCUAAGGUAGCGAAAUUCCUUGUCGGGUAAGUUCCGACCUGCACGAAUGGCGUAAUGAUGGCCAGGCUGUCUCCACCCGAGACUCAGUGAAAUUGAACUCGCUGUGAAGAUGCAGUGUACCCGCGGCAAGACGGAAAGACCCCGUGAACCUUUACUAUAGCUUGACACUGAACAUUGAGCCUUGAUGUGUAGGAUAGGUGGGAGGCUUUGAAGUGUGGACGCCAGUCUGCAUGGAGCCGACCUUGAAAUACCACCCUUUAAUGUUUGAUGUUCUAACGUUGACCCGUAAUCCGGGUUGCGGACAGUGUCUGGUGGGUAGUUUGACUGGGGCGGUCUCCUCCUAAAGAGUAACGGAGGAGCACGAAGGUUGGCUAAUCCUGGUCGGACAUCAGGAGGUUAGUGCAAUGGCAUAAGCCAGCUUGACUGCGAGCGUGACGGCGCGAGCAGGUGCGAAAGCAGGUCAUAGUGAUCCGGUGGUUCUGAAUGGAAGGGCCAUCGCUCAACGGAUAAAAGGUACUCCGGGGAUAACAGGCUGAUACCGCCCAAGAGUUCAUAUCGACGGCGGUGUUUGGCACCUCGAUGUCGGCUCAUCACAUCCUGGGGCUGAAGUAGGUCCCAAGGGUAUGGCUGUUCGCCAUUUAAAGUGGUACGCGAGCUGGGUUUAGAACGUCGUGAGACAGUUCGGUCCCUAUCUGCCGUGGGCGCUGGAGAACUGAGGGGGGCUGCUCCUAGUACGAGAGGACCGGAGUGGACGCAUCACUGGUGUUCGGGUUGUCAUGCCAAUGGCACUGCCCGGUAGCUAAAUGCGGAAGAGAUAAGUGCUGAAAGCAUCUAAGCACGAAACUUGCCCCGAGAUGAGUUCUCCCUGACUCCUUGAGAGUCCUGAAGGAACGUUGAAGACGACGACGUUGAUAGGCCGGAUGUGUAAGCGCAGCGAUGCGUUGAGCUAACCGGUACUAAUGAACCGUGAGGCUUAACCUU